RNAcentral lists this ribosomal RNA (483 nucleotides) under uncultured bacterium. RNAcentral describes it as "partial 16S ribosomal RNA". It matches the Rfam family "Bacterial small subunit ribosomal RNA", at positions 30 to 506 of the family's 1533-position model. The record is from RNAcentral.
AUUGAACGCUGGCGGCAGGCCUAACACAUGCAAGUCGAGCGGAUGAAGGGAGCUUGCUCCUGGAUUCAGCGGCGGACGGGUGAGUAAUGCCUAGGAAUCUGCCUGGUAGUGGGGGAUAACGUCCGGAAACGGGCGCUAAUACCGCAUACGUCCUGAGGGAGAAAGUGGGGGAUCUUCGGACCUCACGCUAUCAGAUGAGCCUAGGUCGGAUUAGCUAGUUGGUGGGGUAAAGGCCUACCAAGGCGACGAUCCGUAACUGGUCUGAGAGGAUGAUCAGUCACACUGGAACUGAGACACGGUCCAGACGCCUACGGGAGGCAGCAGUGGGGAAUAUUGGACAAUGGGCGAAAGCCUGAUCCAGCCAUGCCGCGGGUGUGAAGAAGGUCUUCGGAUUGUAAAGCACUUUAAGUUGGGAGGAAGGGCAGUAAGUUAAUACCUUGCUGUUUUGACGUUACCAACAGAAUAAGCACCGGCUAACUUCGU